UGAGGAAUAUUGGUCAAUGGGCGAGAGCCUGAACCAGCCAAGUCGCGUGAGGGAGGAAGGUCCUACGGAUUGUAAACCUCUUUUGCCGGGGAGCAAAGGGGCCAUUGAUGGCAGGAUGAGCGUACCCGGAGAAAAAGCAUCGGCUAACUCCGUGCCAGCAGCCGCGGUAAUACGGAGGAUGCGAGCGUUAUCCGGAUUUAUUGGGUUUAAAGGGUGCGCAGGCGGCGCGUCAAGCCGGUGGUAAAAUUGCGGGGCUCAACCCCGUAGAGCCAUCGGAACUGGCGUGCUUGAGUGGAGAAGAAGUAUGCGGAAUGCGAGGUGUAGCGGUGAAAUGCAUAGAUAUCGCGCAGAACCC
This 355-nucleotide ribosomal RNA is filed under the name uncultured Barnesiella sp. RNAcentral describes it as "bacterial SSU rRNA". It matches the Rfam family "Bacterial small subunit ribosomal RNA", at positions 355 to 709 of the family's 1533-position model. Lineage: Bacteria; Pseudomonadati; Bacteroidota; Bacteroidia; Bacteroidales; Barnesiellaceae. The record is from RNAcentral.